This 488-nucleotide ribosomal RNA is filed under the name bacterium. Its description in RNAcentral is "bacterial SSU rRNA". It matches the Rfam family "Bacterial small subunit ribosomal RNA", at positions 388 to 866 of the family's 1533-position model. The record is from RNAcentral.
GGAGCAACGCCGCCGUGAGUGAUGAAGGCUUUCGGGUCGUAAAACUCUGUUGUUAGGGAAGAACAAGUGCUAGUUGAAUAAGCUGGCACCUUGACGGUACCUAACCAGAAAGCCACGGCUAACUACGUGCCAGCAGCCGCGGUAAUACGUAGGUGGCAAGCGUUAUCCGGAAUUAUUGGGCGUAAAGCGCGCGCAGGUGGUUUCUUAAGUCUGAUGUGAAAGCCCACGGCUCAACCGUGGAGGGUCAUUGGAAACUGGGAGACUUGAGUGCAGAAGAGGAAAGUGGAAUUCCAUGUGUAGCGGUGAAAUGCGUAGAGAUAUGGAGGAACACCAGUGGCGAAGGCGACUUUCUGGUCUGUAACUGACACUGAGGCGCGAAAGCGUGGGGAGCAAACAGGAUUAGAUACCCUGGUAGUCCACGCCGUAAACGAUGAGUGCUAAGUGUUAGAGGGUUUCCGCCCUUUAGUGCUGAAGUUAACGCAUAAGCA